AUGAAAUUAAAGGGCUGCAGUAAUUUGACUGUACAAAGGUAGCAUAAUCAUUAGUCAUUUAAUUGAUGACUUGUAUGAAAGAUUGGAUGAAAUAUAAGCUGUCUCUUAGUUAUAAAUAGAAUUUAAUUUUUUAAUUAAAAAGUUAAAAUAAUUUAAAAAGACGAGAAGACCCUAUAGAGUUUUAUAAUUUUAUUGAUUAAGAUUAUUUAAAUAAGUAAAAAUUAAAAUUAUUAAGAUUAUUUUGUUGGGGUGACAGAAAAAUAAAUUUAACUUUUUUUAUUUGGUAAACAUAUAUAAGUGGGUAAAUGAUCCAGUAAUAUUGAUUAUAAGAAAAAAUUACCUUAGGGAUAACAGCGUAAUUUUUUUUUUUAGUUCACAUAAAAAAGAGAGUUUGCGACCUCGAUGUUGGAUUAAGAUAAAAUUUAAAUGUAGAAG
RNAcentral lists this ribosomal RNA (435 nucleotides) under Mythimna straminea. Its description in RNAcentral is "partial 16S large subunit ribosomal RNA". Lineage: Eukaryota; Metazoa; Arthropoda; Insecta; Lepidoptera; Noctuidae. The record is from RNAcentral.